GAUGAACGCUGGCGGCGUGCUUAACACAUGCAAGUCGAACGAUGAAGCCCAGCUUGCUGGGUGGAUUAGUGGCGAACGGGUGAGUAACACGUGAGUAACCUGCCCUUAACUCUGGGAUAAGCCUGGGAAACUGGGUCUAAUACCGGAUAGGAGCGUCCACCGCAUGGUGGGUGUUGGAAAGAUUUAUCGGUUUUGGAUGGACUCGCGGCCUAUCAGCUUGUUGGUGAGGUAAUGGCUCACCAAGGCGACGACGGGUAGCCGGCCUGAGAGGGUGACCGGCCAAAGAGGGACUAGGAAAGGGCCCAGAGGCCAGGGGGGGGAAGGGGGGGGAAAAUGUGCAAAAGGGGGAGAGGCCGGGAGGAGGGGCGGCGGGGAGGGAAAAACGGCCUUCGGGUAAGAAACCUCUUGGGGUAAGAAAGAAGGGAAAGGAAGGGAACUGGCAAAAAAACCACGGGCAAAAAAGGG
This 465-nucleotide ribosomal RNA is filed under the name uncultured bacterium. RNAcentral describes it as "partial 16S ribosomal RNA". The stretch from base 20 to 330 matches the Rfam family "Bacterial small subunit ribosomal RNA", at positions 47 to 358 of the family's 1533-position model. The record is from RNAcentral.